GGUUCUAUAGUGUAGUGGCUAGCACUUUGGACUCUGAAUCCAACAACCCGAGUUCGAAUCUCGGUAGGACCU
This 72-nucleotide transfer RNA is filed under the name Piromyces finnis. It matches the Rfam family "tRNA". Rfam says of the family: Transfer RNA (tRNA) molecules are approximately 80 nucleotides in length. Their secondary structure includes four short double-helical elements and three loops (D, anti-codon, and T loops). Further hydrogen bonds mediate the characteristic L-shaped molecular structure. tRNAs have two regions of fundamental functional importance: the anti-codon, which is responsible for specific mRNA codon recognition, and the 3' end, to which the tRNAs corresponding amino acid is attached (by aminoacyl-tRNA synthetases). tRNAs cope with the degeneracy of the genetic code in two manners: having more than one tRNA (with a specific anti-codon) for a particular amino acid; and 'wobble' base-pairing, i.e. permitting non-standard base-pairing at the 3rd anti-codon position. The record is from Rfam by way of RNAcentral. Lineage: Eukaryota; Fungi; Neocallimastigomycota; Neocallimastigomycetes; Neocallimastigales; Neocallimastigaceae.